This 363-nucleotide transfer-messenger RNA is filed under the name Polyangiaceae. RNAcentral describes it as "Labilithrix sp019637175 Standard tmRNA". It matches the Rfam family "transfer-messenger RNA". Rfam says of the family: Bacterial tmRNA, also known as 10Sa RNA or SsrA, is named for its dual tRNA and mRNA-like properties. Its role is to liberate the mRNA from a stalled ribosome. The record is from RNAcentral. RNAcentral also lists the same sequence under 1 other name. Lineage: Bacteria; Pseudomonadati; Myxococcota; Polyangiales.
GGGGGCGAUCGGCUUCGACGGAGAUCUCGACCAUUUGUUGCGUGCCGUGGGUCUCGUGGGACCACGUAAAAACCUCGCGGGAAACACAAUUGCGAACGAUAACGCAAUUGCUCUCGCUGCCUAAACAGCAGGUCUGAGAGCCGGGCGACCCAGGAGCUUGCCGGUGCUCCGGGAAGACCGUCAACGAACCGGCUGGCCGAGGCUCGGGUCACCGGGGCCGACGCGAGAUCAAACAGGUGAAUAGUCCCGAGGCGAGCGCGCCGGUCCGCGCAAAUCGGGACGAUCAAGUCGGCCGGACACGCACGUAGACGCAGGUGGCCUCGAUAUUUUCGGACCCGGGUUCGAUUCCCGGCGCCUCCACCA